UCCGUAGGUGAACCUGCGGAAGGAUCAUUACCGAGUGCAGGUCUGCCCCCGGGCAGGCCUAACCUCCCACCCGUGAAUACCUGACCAACGUUGCUUCGGCGGUGCGCCCCCCCCGGGGGUAGCCGCCGGAGACCACACCGAACCUCCUGUCUUUAGUGUUGUCUGAGCUUGAUAGCAAACCUAUUAAAACUUUCAACAAUGGAUCUCUUGGUUCCGGCAUCGAUGAAGAACGCAGCGAACUGCGAUAAGUAAUGUGAAUUGCAGAAUUCAGUGAAUCAUCGAGUCUUUGAACGCACAUUGCGCCCCCUGGCAUUCCGGGGGGCAUGCCUGUCCGAGCGUCAUUGCUGCCCUUCAAGCCCGGCUUGUGUGUUGGGUCGUCGUCCCCCCCGGGGGACGGGCCCGAAAGGCAGCGGCGGCACCGCGUCCGGUCCUCGAGCGUAUGGGGCUUUGUCACCCGCUCGAUUAGGGCCGGCCGGGCGCCAGCCGGCGUCUCCAACCUUCUAUUUUACCAGGUUGACCUCGGAUCAGGUAGGGAUACCCGCUGAACUUAAGCAUAUCAAUAAGCGGAGGA
Molecule: ribosomal RNA, 571 nt
Filed under: Aspergillus ustus
Lineage: Eukaryota; Fungi; Ascomycota; Eurotiomycetes; Eurotiales; Aspergillaceae
Also listed under: 1 other name
Description: eukaryotic LSU rRNA
Rfam family: 5.8S ribosomal RNA (bases 188-341)
Source: RNAcentral